RNAcentral lists this ribosomal RNA (2852 nucleotides) under Escherichia coli. Its description in RNAcentral is "bacterial LSU rRNA". It matches the Rfam family "Bacterial large subunit ribosomal RNA". The record is from RNAcentral. Lineage: Bacteria; Pseudomonadati; Pseudomonadota; Gammaproteobacteria; Enterobacterales; Enterobacteriaceae.
GGGUUGUGAGGUUAAGCGACUAAGCGUACACGGUGGAUGCCCUGGCAGUCAGAGGCGAUGAAGGACGUGCUAAUCUGCGAUAAGCGUCGGUAAGGUGAUAUGAACCGUUAUAACCGGCGAUUUCCGAAUGGGGAAACCCAGUGUGAUUCGUCACACUAUCAUUAACUGAAUCCAUAGGUUAAUGAGGCGAACCGGGGGAACUGAAACAUCUAAGUACCCCGAGGAAAAGAAAUCAACCGAGAUUCCCCCAGUAGCGGCGAGCGAACGGGGAGCAGCCCAGAGCCUGAAUCAGUGUGUGUGUUAGUGGAAGCGUCUGGAAAGGCGCGCGAUACAGGGUGACAGCCCCGUACACAAAAAUGCACAUGCUGUGAGCUCGAUGAGUAGGGCGGGACACGUGGUAUCCUGUCUGAAUAUGGGGGGACCAUCCUCCAAGGCUAAAUACUCCUGACUGACCGAUAGUGAACCAGUACCGUGAGGGAAAGGCGAAAAGAACCCCGGCGAGGGGAGUGAAAAAGAACCUGAAACCGUGUACGUACAAGCAGUGGGAGCACGCUUAGGCGUGUGACUGCGUACCUUUUGUAUAAUGGGUCAGCGACUUAUAUUCUGUAGCAAGGUUAACCGAAUAGGGGAGCCGAAGGGAAACCGAGUCUUAACUGGGCGUUAAGUUGCAGGGUAUAGACCCGAAACCCGGUGAUCUAGCCAUGGGCAGGUUGAAGGUUGGGUAACACUAACUGGAGGACCGAACCGACUAAUGUUGAAAAAUUAGCGGAUGACUUGUGGCUGGGGGUGAAAGGCCAAUCAAACCGGGAGAUAGCUGGUUCUCCCCGAAAGCUAUUUAGGUAGCGCCUCGUGAAUUCAUCUCCGGGGGUAGAGCACUGUUUCGGCAAGGGGGUCAUCCCGACUUACCAACCCGAUGCAAACUGCGAAUACCGGAGAAUGUUAUCACGGGAGACACACGGCGGGUGCUAACGUCCGUCGUGAAGAGGGAAACAACCCAGACCGCCAGCUAAGGUCCCAAAGUCAUGGUUAAGUGGGAAACGAUGUGGGAAGGCCCAGACAGCCAGGAUGUUGGCUUAGAAGCAGCCAUCAUUUAAAGAAAGCGUAAUAGCUCACUGGUCGAGUCGGCCUGCGCGGAAGAUGUAACGGGGCUAAACCAUGCACCGAAGCUGCGGCAGCGACGCUGAUGCGUUGUUGGGUAGGGGAGCGUUCUGUAAGCCUGCGAAGGUGUGCUGUGAGGCAUGCUGGAGGUAUCAGAAGUGCGAAUGCUGACAUAAGUAACGAUAAAGCGGGUGAAAAGCCCGCUCGCCGGAAGACCAAGGGUUCCUGUCCAACGUUAAUCGGGGCAGGGUGAGUCGACCCCUAAGGCGAGGCCGAAAGGCGUAGUCGAUGGGAAACAGGUUAAUAUUCCUGUACUUGGUGUUACUGCGAAGGGGGGACGGAGAAGGCUAUGUUGGCCGGGCGACGGUUGUCCCGGUUUAAGCGUGUAGGCUGGUUUUCCAGGCAAAUCCGGAAAAUCAAGGCUGAGGCGUGAUGACGAGGCACUACGGUGCUGAAGCAACAAAUGCCCUGCUUCCAGGAAAAGCCUCUAAGCAUCAGGUAACAUCAAAUCGUACCCCAAACCGACACAGGUGGUCAGGUAGAGAAUACCAAGGCGCUUGAGAGAACUCGGGUGAAGGAACUAGGCAAAAUGGUGCCGUAACUUCGGGAGAAGGCACGCUGAUAUGUAGGUGAAGUCCCUCGCGGAUGGAGCUGAAAUCAGUCGAAGAUACCAGCUGGCUGCAACUGUUUAUUAAAAACACAGCACUGUGCAAACACGAAAGUGGACGUAUACGGUGUGACGCCUGCCCGGUGCCGGAAGGUUAAUUGAUGGGGUCAGCGCAAGCGAAGCUCUUGAUCGAAGCCCCGGUAAACGGCGGCCGUAACUAUAACGGUCCUAAGGUAGCGAAAUUCCUUGUCGGGUAAGUUCCGACCUGCACGAAUGGCGUAAUGAUGGCCAGGCUGUCUCCACCCGAGACUCAGUGAAAUUGAACUCGCUGUGAAGAUGCAGUGUACCCGCGGCAAGACGGAAAGACCCCGUGAACCUUUACUAUAGCUUGACACUGAACAUUGAGCCUUGAUGUGUAGGAUAGGUGGGAGGCUUUGAAGUGUGGACGCCAGUCUGCAUGGAGCCGACCUUGAAAUACCACCCUUUAAUGUUUGAUGUUCUAACGUUGACCCGUGAUCCGGGUUGCGGACAGUGUCUGGUGGGUAGUUUGACUGGGGCGGUCUCCUCCUAAAGAGUAACGGAGGAGCACGAAGGUUGGCUAAUCCUGGUCGGACAUCAGGAGGUUAGUGCAAUGGCAUAAGCCAGCUUGACUGCGAGCGUGACGGCGCGAGCAGGUGCGAAAGCAGGUCAUAGUGAUCCGGUGGUUCUGAAUGGAAGGGCCAUCGCUCAACGGAUAAAAGGUACUCCGGGGAUAACAGGCUGAUACCGCCCAAGAGUUCAUAUCGACGGCGGUGUUUGGCACCUCGAUGUCGGCUCAUCACAUCCUGGGGCUGAAGUAGGUCCCAAGGGUAUGGCUGUUCGCCAUUUAAAGUGGUACGCGAGCUGGGUUUAGAACGUCGUGAGACAGUUCGGUCCCUAUCUGCCGUGGGCGCUGGAGAACUGAGGGGGGCUGCUCCUAGUACGAGAGGACCGGAGUGGACGCAUCACUGGUGUUCGGGUUGUCAUGCCAAUGGCACUGCCCGGUAGCUAAAUGCGGAAGAGAUAAGUGCUGAAAGCAUCUAAGCACGAAACUUGCCCCGAGAUGAGUUCUCCCUGACUCCUUGAGAGUCCUGAAGGAACGUUGAAGACGACGACGUUGAUAGGCCGG